This 526-nucleotide ribosomal RNA is filed under the name uncultured bacterium. RNAcentral's name for it is "bacterial SSU rRNA". It matches the Rfam family "Bacterial small subunit ribosomal RNA", at positions 1 to 533 of the family's 1533-position model. The record is from RNAcentral.
UAGAGUUUGAUCCUGGCUCAGGACGAACGCUGGCGGCGUGCUUAACACAUGCAAGUGGAGCGACGAACCAGGGCUUGCCCUGGGGCAGAGCCGCGAACGGGUGAGUAACACGUGGGUUACCUGCCUCGAUGACCGGGACAACCCGAGGAAACUCGGGCUAAUACCGGAUGUGCCCGCAAGGGGAAAGGAAGCUUCGGCCUCCGCAUCGAGAUGGGCCCGCGGCCCAUUAGCUUGUUGGUGAGGUAACGGCUCACCAAGGCUUCGAUGGGUAGCUGGUCUGAGAGGACGAUCAGCCACACUGGGGCUGAGACACGGCCCAGACUCCUACGGGAGGCAGCAGUGGGGAAUCUUGCGCAAUGCGCGAAAGCGUGACGCAGCAACGCCGCGUGGGGGAAGAAGGCUUUCGGGUUGUAAACCCCUUUCAGUUGGGACGAAGCUUCGGCGGUGAACAGCCGACCGGAGUGACGGUACCUUCACAAGAAGCACCGGCUAACUACGUGCCAGCAGCCGCGGUAGCCCAAUCGCC